CCAACUCUUCCUCAGACUUUCCGGCCUGGUCCUCCUUUAAGAGCCUCACCAUCAUGACCAAGAACUCCUCGAAGUCGAUGGUGCCGCUGCCUAAGGUGAAGUUUCCGAUCGAUUAUGCAUCAAGCUCGAAAAUAACAGGAACAAGCUAUCCGGAUACAGAUGUCACGCCCUGAUCUGUUUCACAUGUUCCUGUGAUUGUCUCCACCCCCUCCAGUUCUCCCGGUUCUGACUCUGGACUACUUUCCUGCCUGCCUGCCUGAUCAUCCUGCC
Molecule: long non-coding RNA, 270 nt
Organism: Oncorhynchus gorbuscha (pink salmon)
Lineage: Eukaryota; Metazoa; Chordata; Actinopteri; Salmoniformes; Salmonidae
Exons: 3
Source: RefSeq, a predicted model, not a curated record